This 471-nucleotide ribosomal RNA is filed under the name uncultured organism. RNAcentral describes it as "partial 16S ribosomal RNA". It matches the Rfam family "Bacterial small subunit ribosomal RNA", at positions 335 to 797 of the family's 1533-position model. The record is from RNAcentral.
ACUCCUGCGGGAGGCAGCAGUGGGGAAUUUUGGACAAUGGGCGAAAGCCUGAUCCAGCCAUGCCGCGUGCAGGAUGAAGGCCUUCGGGUUGUAAACUGCUUUUGUACGGAACGAAACGGCCUUUUCUAAUAAAGAGGGCUAAUGACGGUACCGUAAGAAUAAGCACCGGCUAACUACGUGCCAGCAGCCGCGGUAAUACGUAGGGUGCAAGCGUUAAUCGGAAUUACUGGGCGUAAAGCGUGCGCAGGCGGUUAUGUAAGACAGUUGUGAAAUCCCCGGGCUCAACCUGGGAACUGCAUCUGUGACUGCAUAGCUAGAGUACGGUAGAGGGGGAUGGAAUUCCGCGUGUAGCAGUGAAAUGCGUAGAUAUGCGGAGGAACACCGAUGGCGAAGGCAAUCCCCUGGACCUGUACUGACGCUCAUGCACGAAAGCGUGGGGAGCAAACAGGAUUAGAUACCCUGGUAGUCCCA